GACGAACGCUGGCGGCGUGCCUAAUACAUGCAAGUCGAACGCUGAAGGAGGAGCUUGCUCUUCUGGAUGAGUUGCGAACGGGUGAGUAACGCGUAGGUAACCUGCCUGGUAGCGGGGGAUAACUAUUGGAAACGAUAGCUAAUACCGCAUAACAGUAGAUGUUGCAUGACAUUUGCUUAAAAGGUGCAAUUGCAUCACUACCAGAUGGACCUGCGUUGUAUUAGCUAGUUGGUGGGGUAACGGCUCACCAAGGCGACGAUACAUAGCCGACCUGAGAGGGUGAUCGGCCACACUGGGACUGAGACACGGCCCAGACUCCUACGGGAGGCAGCAGUAGGGAAUCUUCGGCAAUGGACGGAAGUCUGACCGAGCAACGCCGCGUGAGUGAAGAAGGUUUUCGGAUCGUAAAGCUCUGUUGUAAGAGAAGAACGAGUGUGAGAGUGGAAAGUUCACACUGUGACGGUAUCUUACCAGAAAGGGACGGCUAACUACGUG
Molecule: ribosomal RNA, 495 nt
Filed under: uncultured bacterium
Lineage: Bacteria
Description: partial 16S ribosomal RNA
Rfam family: Bacterial small subunit ribosomal RNA
Source: RNAcentral